AGAACGAACGCUGGCGGCAUGCCUAAUACAUGCAAGUCGAACGAACUCUUCGGAGUUAGUGGCGCACGGGUGCGUAACGCGUGGGAAUCUGCCCUUGGGUUCGGAAUAACAGUUGGAAACGACUGCUAAUACCGGAUGAUGACGAAAGUCCAAAGAUUUAUCGCCCAGGGAUGAGCCCGCGUAGGAUUAGCUAGUUGGUGAGGUAAAGGCUCACCAAGGCGACGAUCCUUAGCUGGUCUGAGAGGAUGAUCAGCCACACUGGGACUGAGACACGGCCCAGACUCCUACGGGAGGCAGCAGUAGGGAAUAUGGACAAUGGGCGAAAGCCUGAUCCAGCAAUGACCGCGUGAGUGAUGAAGGCCUUAGGUUGUAAAGCUUACUUUACCCGGAGUAUGAUAAUGACAGUAGUCGGUAGAAGUAAGCCCGGAUAACCGUCCGUAGCCCAGCAGCCGACGGU
This 457-nucleotide ribosomal RNA is filed under the name uncultured soil bacterium. RNAcentral describes it as "bacterial SSU rRNA". It matches the Rfam family "Bacterial small subunit ribosomal RNA", at positions 26 to 521 of the family's 1533-position model. The record is from RNAcentral.